UCACACCUUUCUGAUAUUCGUUUUCAGAUUGGCUGCUGUCGCUCAUAUUUCUUACGGAUUGAAGUGAAAUUGCUGGAGACAUUGGGAUGAGCAGCUUACUUCCUGUGACAUGCAAUCAGAAAAGGUGAAAAGAUAGGAGCGGAAAGCCCACAACUUGUAUCGAGCAAGUACGUACCUUUUAAAGAAUCUUUUUUCCUUAAACUUACAUUAACUUUCGACUAAUGAGACCAUGCAUAAAUCAGCUGAUUGUUUGACAACAUUUUUGUUUUGACAUUGUCAGAAUAUUUGGGAAUGGUAUCUGCAAGUUGCAAUUGUUUUGACUUCUGCUUAUUAAAUCAGACGACUUCUUUCAUAGGGGUUAACUUAAAUAUAUAUCAUUCUGCAUACUACUGUUUGCCAGUGACCAUAUUGAGCAAACUCACUAACCAAUAAGUAGUUUACUAAUUAAACUAUAUCAGUUAGUGACCUGUGAUCCUGAAGUAGUUGGUUAUCUUUGAGCUAUCGCAAGAGGCAUUUACAGAAUUAGAUAAUAGAAGUAUUGCAGAUUGGCUAGAAACAAAAAAAAAAAAAGUAGAGAUUUUUGCUCUUUAUUGAAUUUUUUUGGUUUGGUUUUAUGUUAUUUCAAAAAAUACUCGUGGAGAGAUAAGCCUUUCUUGUGUAAGCUUACCCAAUAUAUAUGCUCUUUUAACUAUGACAAAGUAGUGGCUCUAAGAAUGUGCAAUAAUGAGAUUUGGCUAAACUUGCAACUGACCUGUAUUGUAUAUUUAUGUGGGGACAUGAGUUUGGAAGUAGUACUAUUCAUUGUCCUAUUGCAGACAUUGGUCCAUCUAAAAAACUACUGCAUAUAAUAAAAAAUUUAGCAGACAUUGGUCCAUCUUGCUUUGAGUUCUGGCUGCACCUUUUUUUUUCCUAUCAACUUUUUUUUAUAUAUAAUUGACAUGAAUAACUUUAAUUUUCACCCAUGCUCUCAAAUUAAUUCCAACUUCUUGUUAGUUAGGGAUAAUCCAAAAGUUUUGAGUACCUUUUCAAAAUGAUCCAAGUUUUUUUUUCCUGUUAUUUUUUGAGCCUUUUUUGUUGGGUCUAUAAAUAAAGUUGUGAUUAUGUCGAGAAGGUCUCUCUGAAAGUUGGGAUUAUAUUGAAAUAAUUUAAAGUUAGGGUUAUUCUGAGAAGCUUAGUAAAAGCUUGAGACUAUUCAUGUCAAAUUAUUUUUUGUUUUGGUUUAUGUUGGAAUUUUUUGGUUCACUGUUGCUAGUACUUCUUCCUUUUCUUUUUGAUUGUUAUUGAUCUUCUAAAUUCUUCUCAAUAUAUAAGAAAAACUAUUGUCAUGCGGGUUUUGUUUGAUACGUUUCAAUAAGUACUUUGUUAUCAAUCGUUAAAAUUUUAUUAAUAUGAAAUGAAAGAUAUUCAAGGUUCAAAAAGUGCAUUGGCAAACGCAAAUAGUCAAAACACAAAACAGGAAGAACAAAAAGAAACGGAGGGAGUAUUUCUUUUUCUACCUGAUGUAGGUAAUUCUGAUGCAUAGUACUUCUGUCAGUUGCUGUAGCUCACAUAGCUUUGGAUGUAUGAAGGAUAUAAAUGGAAAGUUGAAAAAAGGUGCAGUUAUUUAUAAAAAGUAAUUCUCCAUUUAAGACCAGUUGACCUGAUUCUUUGUAUUUGAAAAUGUCAAGAUCUGAGCUUAGCAUCUUCCUGUGUCAACACGGGUAUUCUUCUAGAGGAACAAAAUGCCGUACAUUUCUGCCUUUCAUUUUAAGUCGUGGGACUGGCAGCAGAGUAUUUUUAUUUUUGAAUUGGGUAAAUGGAUUGCUUAUCUGUUCUAACACAUAAUUGUGAUACUAUCAGUUCAAAAUCAUACCAUCGAUGUAAUUAUUAAUUUCACACUAUUGUAUUAUAUAUUUUUAUAAAUUAUUAUUCUUAAAUUAUAAUGUUAAUAAUUUAUCAUAUCAAGACGUACAUUUAUAGACAUUUUCUAAAACUUAUAUCCCGUCUUGUACAUCCUCUUUCUUUUUUCUUUUUUGCGAAAUAAAUAGUAUCUUAUUUCCAGCAAUAAUAUUAUGAUGGACUCUCCUAUUAUCUGAACUAAUAUCAUUUUUUUUCUCAUAUUUUAUUACUUAAUUGUUUCCCUCAUAAUCAUCUUUUCAAUAAUAUCCAAAUUGAAAACUAUGUAAAUGAACUUUUAUAUUAUUCUUCUGUUAUUGAUUUUUUCCCUCAGUAGCUUCAUUUCGUCAAUCGUCUGUUACAUAAUUGCCAUUCAAUAACGGAUUUUGGAUAUUGCCAUUCCGUGAAAUCCCGUUACGGAACACUAUAAUAAAAUUCUCAUACUUCUCUUGUCCGUUCCAUAACGCAAACUCGCCGCAUCGGAACGUUUUUAUCUCCAUUACAUCCGUUCUUUUCAAACAUUGACCAAAGUUAUUAUAUAAAUCAUUAUAUAUAUAGCUUAUGAAACAUGAUAUUGUGAUAGAUUUGAUUAUAUUAUGUUGUUAUAAUGCUUUAUAAACUAAAACAUUGCAAAUAUAGUUAUAACAUAUGAAUGUGAAUUUUUUAAAAGAAUUCAUGCCGCGUCAGCCAGGAUUCUUUCCAUUCAUCUGUUACAAGCCGCUUUUGCGACAACGCAAAUGUUAUCGCGACUGCGUCCACGAUUUUUUCCUUGGUUCUAUGUCUCUUGUGACAGUUGCUAACCCUAAUAAGACGUUUUGCUUUCAUGCAUGUGGCAGAGACGAGUUCAUUAUCUAUAGAGAUAUGACUCAUGAGUACAUAUACAUUCUGAGAAUUUUUUUGUGGCAUAGAAUUGCUGGUAACUGCAUUUUAGGGAAUGCAUGUUGCAUGAUAAAAUGGUGAAUUAUAUUACUGGUGAUACUCCCGAAUAAUAAUAGAAUGAGUGAAUUAGAAGAGGCUUAUGAAUCUUGGAGUUCCGAUGAUUUUGUGGAUUCAAAUUUCUAGAUGACAUGAGAGAUCAGUAUUGAAACUAUAAGUUGUAAAUAAGUGAUAAGUAGGCUAUAUCCUCCAAAGCGUGGAUGGUGGAGUAGAGACCACCUUCCUCUACGUGGUCCUGCUCCAAAACGCAUAGCUUGAAAAUGCAAUCUUGAAGAAAAGGAAAUAAUUUUUUUUAAAAAAAGAAUUACGGCAAAUCAAUCCCACUAGAUGAUAACAUCACAUUAAACUUUUUUUUUUUUAAAAAACAAACUUUUAUUAUUUAUUAAUUUUUGUUUUGGCAAACAUUGAUAACUUUUCAAGAAUUGCGACAAAUCACUCCCACGAGAUGAUAAAAAGUACUUCCUCCGUUCCGUUUUAAAUGAAACGUUUGCUUUUUCACGCAACCCAACGCGCUUCUUUAGUCAUUAAUAUCUUUAGUUGUGUAAACGUAAAAAAUAUAAAAAAGUUAUAAUUUGAUAGUAUACAUCGAGACGAAUCUAACAAGAUCCCACUUGACUAUGUUUUUCUUUAUAUAAUAGCGAUAAAUUGGAGUUAAAAUUGAUUAGUGAAUAGUGUCAUUUCAUCCAAUGUUUCAUUUAAAACAGAACGGAGGAAAUAUGUAUUUUUUAUGUCCUUAUUCAUUAUUGUUAUUUUUACAGAUUUGUGCUUCUCAACUAUUAUGUGUACGUGUUCUUUUAUAAUCAAUAUGUUGUUCAUUAUUGUAUUAUAUCAUGUUCUUUUAUAAUCAGAAUGAUGUUCUUUGUUUUAGAACUUCAUGUUCUUUUUAAAUUUUAAUUCGUUGUUAUGACUAUUUUCAUAAUUUUUUGCUUCUCAAGUCAUAUACGCAUAUGUUCUUCUAUAAUCAAUAUGGUGUUUUGUAUUUGAUAUGUUCAUGUUCUUUUUUUAGAAACGGGAAAUCUAUCAAAAAAAAUGGAGGUGGUAUAAAUUAGCCUUUCCUCUAGAAUAAUUUUUCUAAUGGAAAAUAUGUUUUUUUUUCUCUUUACCAUUCUUGGCUCUUGGACUCUAUAUAUCUUUAUCAUUUGAAAAGUAGUAGAUAAUCCUUAUGGAAAAUAUCUUCCUUAUGUGAGCAAAUAUCAGGUAGUUACCCGUUGCCGCAAUUCGUGUGAGAUAAACUUGGUUACUAUUGCAAAUUAUGUGGAGUAAAAUUCAUGUUUUUUAUUUAAUUAUUUGAGGUGAGACAAACUUAACAACAAACCGCACAAAAUCACCUACAUAUUUGCGUAUAUCCUCAUUUUUGUUUCAUUUAUUUGAAAUCCUCUUAAGUUUGUUUUAUUUAUUUGACGCCAAGUAAAAAUCUUUAUGAAAGUAAUAUGGAUAACAAGAAAGAGGAAUGAGUUUUUAUAUAUGCUAUAAUAUGCUUUAAGAAAAGCUCUCAGUCUUAGGCAUUUUUAUCAGAUAUGGAAUUCUUCUUCUGUGAGUUGUGACUUGCAGGUAGCGUCACAGGUCGCGAGACGCGACCACCAUCGCGGUUCGCGAGCUGGAGUCAUCGCGAGGGGCGAGGGGUGAUUUCCUGCGUGUUGUGGCAGAAUCAUCGUCGCGGGGUGCUCGCGAGUCGCGACACUGAUCGCGUGUCGCGAGCUCGGCUCUGUUUUUUCCACGAAGCGCGAGGGCGAUUUAUUCACUCGGUUUAUUCGACGACUUAGGGCUUGUAUUCUAGACUUCAUAUAAAUAUGUUACUUCAUAUUUAGGGCUGGAUAACCACAAAAUAUAAGAGAGAGAUUAGCUUAAACACAAUAGAGCAGAUUAAAGAGAGUCUUUGAGAUUCAAUUAUAUUCAAUUGAAUCUUGCCUAUUGUAAUUUGUAAUCGUCUCGUUCAUAGUGAAAGAAUCUUUUUUCCCUGCCUUGAGGACGUAGCUAUCGCAUUGAUAGUGAACCUCAUUAAAUCUAUGUGUUCUUUAUUCG
Molecule: long non-coding RNA, 4833 nt
Organism: Beta vulgaris subsp. vulgaris (sugar beet)
Lineage: Eukaryota; Viridiplantae; Streptophyta; Magnoliopsida; Caryophyllales; Amaranthaceae
Exons: 2
Source: RefSeq, a predicted model, not a curated record